UUUCCUCUCUUCCCAUUGCUCUCUAAGAAGCUUAAUUUAAUGUCUUUCCAGACAGUAAUGAGGAUCUACGAAGCAUCAGGUGGUUUGAUAUUGUUUUUUUGAAUUAUUAUGGAUCUCUAAUAGUUGAAUUGCAUGCAUGAUUGCCCACCUCCUAUUAUGAUUGCCCACCUCCUAUUCAUAACUCCUGGUUUUGAUAUGUUCUAUGUAUUAAUAGACUGGAACAUCCCAUUAGGAAGACAACGUUGCCCAGCAUGAAUUCUAUCAAAAACUUGUAUCAGUUUCAAGAGCUUGGUUAUGUUGUGCUACUAAUCUUGCU
Molecule: long non-coding RNA, 316 nt
Filed under: Populus trichocarpa (black cottonwood)
Lineage: Eukaryota; Viridiplantae; Streptophyta; Magnoliopsida; Malpighiales; Salicaceae
Description: long non-coding RNA (PTRI_LNC001969)
Source: RNAcentral